AAAGCGUGCGCAGGCGGUUAUGUAAGACAGAUGUGAAAUCCCCGGGCUUAACCUGGGAACUGCAUUUGUGACUGCAUAGCUGGAGUACGGCAGAGGGGGAUGGAAUUCCGCGUGUAGCAGUGAAAUGCGUAGAUAUGCGGAGGAACACCGAUGGCGAAGGCAAUCCCCUGGGCCUGUACUGACGCUCAUGCACGAAAGCGUGGGGAGCAAACAGGAUUAGAUACCCCUGU
This 230-nucleotide ribosomal RNA is filed under the name uncultured bacterium. RNAcentral describes it as "partial 16S ribosomal RNA". It matches the Rfam family "Bacterial small subunit ribosomal RNA", at positions 562 to 791 of the family's 1533-position model. The record is from RNAcentral.